Molecule: ribosomal RNA, 253 nt
Filed under: uncultured bacterium
Lineage: Bacteria
Description: partial 16S ribosomal RNA
Rfam family: Bacterial small subunit ribosomal RNA
Source: RNAcentral
UACGUAGGGUGCAAGCGUUGUCCGGAAUUAUUGGGCGUAAAGAGCUUGUAGGCGGUUUGUUGCGUCUGCUGUGAAAUUUCGGGGCUCAACCCCGAACUUGCAGUGGGUACGGGCAGACUAGAGUGUGGUAGGGGAGACUGGAAUUCCUGGUGUAGCGGUGAAAUGCGCAGAUAUCAGGAGGAACACCGAUGGCGAAGGCAGGUCUCUGGGCCAUAACUGACGCUGAGAAGCGAAAGCAUGGGGAGCGAACAGG